AGAGUUUGAKCMUGGCUCAGGACGAACGCUGGCGGCGUGCCUAACACAUGCAAGUCGUGCGGUCUCGCCUUAAGCGAAAGGCCUUUCGGGCUUUGAAGCAAAGGCGAGAUAGCGGCGGACGGGUGAGUAACGCGUGGCUUAUCUGUCCCAGGGAGGGGGAUAACGUCUGGAAACGGGCGCUAAUACCCCAUAUGCCGAAAGGUAAAAAGGAGARAUCCGCCCUGGGGUGAGGCCGCGUCCUAUCAGCUCGUUGGUGAGGUAACGGCCCACCAAGGCUAUGACGGGUAGCCGGCCUGAGAGGGCGGCUGGCCACACUGGGAUUGAGAUACGGCCCAGACUCCUACGGGAGGCAGCAGUGGGGAAUAUUGGGCAAUGGGSGRAASCCUGACCCAGCGACGCCGCGUGGRGGAAGRAGYCYUUCGGGRUGUAAACYCCUGUUGUAAGGGAAGAAGACAGUGACGGUACCKUACGAGGAAGCCCCGGCAAACUACGUGCCAGCAGCCGCGGUAACACGUAGGGGGCGAGCGUUGUCCGGAAUUACUGGGCGUAAAGCGCACGCAGGCGGACUGCGCRMGUCGGCUGUGAAAUGCACCGGCUCAACCGGUGCAUGUCGGUCGAUACUGGCGCAUCUGGAGUGCGGGAGAGGGAASYGGAAUUCCCGGUGUAGCGGUGAAAUGCGUAGAUAUCGGGAGGAACGCCCGGUGGCGAAGGCGGCUUCCUGGCCCGCAACUGACGCUCAUGUGCGAAAGCCAGGGGAGCGAACCGGAUUAGAUACCCGGGUAGUCCUGGCCGUAAACGAUGGACGCUAGGUGUGGGCGGUUUAUCCGUCUGUGCCGMAGYUAACGCGWUAAGCRUCCCGCCUGGGGAGUACGAUCGCAAGRUUGAAACUCAAAGGAAUUGACGG
Molecule: ribosomal RNA, 904 nt
Filed under: uncultured bacterium
Lineage: Bacteria
Description: partial 16S ribosomal RNA
Rfam family: Bacterial small subunit ribosomal RNA
Source: RNAcentral